UGAGAUCAAUCCUAACCCUAAUCCUAACUAUUUUUUUAGUAUUAAUUAUUAUUUUUUUAAAUUAACCUAAAAUUCAUCCACAUAAACCUAAUAAAAAUUGCAUGAUAAGAUUAGAAACUUUAAUUGUUAGAAGCAUUCAUCAUCUUAGAUUUUCUUUUGGUGAUCGUUGGAGACAAGAUAAGCUUUCAAGUUUAAUUAAUUUCAUGCAUUUAAUUUAGUUGCAUAGAAUCUCUUGUUUGAAAUUGGUUGUGCAUAUUCAUCUCAAAUCAAUUUAAGGGCAGCACCAAUAAUAAGAUAAGGUCAGGAUUUCAUCACCCUUCUUUAGCCCAAAAACAACCAACC
This 342-nucleotide long non-coding RNA is filed under the name Elaeis guineensis (African oil palm). RNAcentral describes it as "long non-coding RNA (EGUI_LNC080828)". Lineage: Eukaryota; Viridiplantae; Streptophyta; Magnoliopsida; Arecales; Arecaceae. The record is from RNAcentral.